Molecule: long non-coding RNA, 423 nt
Organism: Gasterosteus aculeatus aculeatus (three-spined stickleback)
Lineage: Eukaryota; Metazoa; Chordata; Actinopteri; Perciformes; Gasterosteidae
Source: Ensembl
GAGGAACACACCUUCUCUCGGCGUAUUCCCGGUAAAUGCACGCACGCAGUUCCUACCGGACAGGCUGGCUGUUGAUGUGACUUCCUGGUAGCAAAGCUUUAGCCCCGCCUCCCGCACCGCUGACCACCAGUAGGAACUCAUCUCCCGCUCAAUCCCCGACCAAUCACAGCAGCCCUCCAGGAGGAGGUGCUGCGGGACAAGGAGCGCCGCGCCCAGCAGCAGCUGGACCGCUGCGCCGAGGAGCGAGGGAGGAAGAUGGAGGUGCAGAAGAGGAAGGAGCAGCAGCGCCGGGCGGCCGCCGGCGAGAAGAGGCGCCAGCAGCAGGAGGCCGAGAAGGAGAGGCUGGAGGCCCUGGUCCGCCGGAGAGCAGGAGGCGCCGAGAGACGAGGAGGAGGAGGGGGAGGAGGAGGGGGAGGAGGAGGG